Long non-coding RNA from Planococcus citri (citrus mealybug), 584 nucleotides. RefSeq lists it as uncharacterized. The transcript has 2 exons. NCBI's taxonomy places the organism in Eukaryota, Metazoa, Arthropoda, Insecta, Hemiptera, Pseudococcidae. The record is from RefSeq and is a predicted model, not a curated record.
UAACAAAUUCUUCAAAAUAUUAUGAAAUUUUGAAGUAUUUUUUUAGCAAAGCAGAAUAAUAUAAAUACUCGAGAAAUGAAUAGUAAAAUCAUUCACAGUUCCAACAAUUACGACUUCGAGUUCACUGCAUUUAGUGCUAAAUUACUGUACUUUUUUCAAAACAAAAAACAUAAAAAUGGGUUUCGGUUAUUUGAUGAACGUUGCAGUUAUGGCGGUGUUCGCUGUUUCUCAGUUGGCUAUGCAUGCUGAAGCAUCAUUAGGAGGAGGCACUGGAGGUAGCGGCGGUCUAGGCAAGAAGUGAUACUACUUAGAGAAAUUAUAUAACCUGUUCAAUUUUGGGCCAAUUCAGAUUCAGAAUCCAUCAAAGUCAACCACAUAUUCAAAUCGCAAUUGUCACUUUACAUACUAAGUAAUAUUCACAAAUUUAUUUAUGUCCACAAGUUAUAGACAACCGAGUGUUUAGAAUUUCAAUCCCAUAUGGUAGUACCUAUGUACUUGAGUAGGUGCAUAUCUGUCUAUUUUAUCCGUUAUCUAGAAUUUUAUAUUCAUUUAUUCGCAUAAUAAAGUAAUCCAGCAUACGCAGA